AGGACGAACGCUGGCGGCGUGCUUAACACAUGCAAGUCACGGGGGCCCGCAAGGGCAACCGGCGAACGGGUGCGUAACACGUGAGCAACCUACCGAUCUAUGGGGGAUAGCCGGGCUAACGCCCGGGUAAUACCGCAUACGCUUCUUUGGGGAGUCCCGAAAGAAGGAAACCUCCGGGGUGGAUCGAGGGGCUCGCGGCCUAUCAGCUAGUUGGUGAGGUCAAGGCUCACCAAGGCGACGACGGGUAGCU
RNAcentral lists this ribosomal RNA (250 nucleotides) under uncultured bacterium. Its description in RNAcentral is "partial small subunit ribosomal RNA". It matches the Rfam family "Bacterial small subunit ribosomal RNA", at positions 26 to 288 of the family's 1533-position model. The record is from RNAcentral.